This 440-nucleotide ribosomal RNA is filed under the name uncultured bacterium. Its description in RNAcentral is "partial 16S ribosomal RNA". It matches the Rfam family "Bacterial small subunit ribosomal RNA", at positions 338 to 795 of the family's 1533-position model. The record is from RNAcentral.
CCUACGGGCGGCAGCAGUAGGGAAUAUUGCUCAAUGGGGGAAACCCUGAAGCAGCAACGCCGCGUGGAGGAUGACGGUUUUCGGAUUGUAAACUCCUUUUGUUAGAGAAGAUAAUGACGGUAUCUAACGAAUAAGCACCGGCUAACUCCGUGCCAGCAGCCGCGGUAAUACGGCGGGUGGACGCGUUACUCGGAAUCACUGGGCGUAAAGGGCGCGUAGGUGGGAUAGCAAGUCAGAUGUGAAAUCCUAUGGCUUAACCAUAGAACUGCAUUUGAAACUGUUAUUCUAGAGUAUGGGAGAGGUAGGUGGAAUUCUUGGUGUAGGGGUAAAAUCCGUAGAGAUCAAGAGGAAUACUCAUUGCGAAGGCGACCUGCUAGAACAUAACUGACGCUGAUGCGCGAAAGCGUGGGGAGCAAACAGGAUUAGAUACCCGGGUAGUC